Molecule: non-coding RNA, 26 nt
Filed under: Macaca fascicularis (crab-eating macaque)
Lineage: Eukaryota; Metazoa; Chordata; Mammalia; Primates; Cercopithecidae
Also listed under: 1 other name
Source: RNAcentral
UGCCAUAUUCCGGGUUGUUGAUGAGA